This 695-nucleotide unclassified non-coding RNA is filed under the name Hevea brasiliensis (rubber tree). Lineage: Eukaryota; Viridiplantae; Streptophyta; Magnoliopsida; Malpighiales; Euphorbiaceae. The record is from RNAcentral.
CUCUACAAAAAAAUAAAUGUCAACCCUAUUUUUUUUGUGCACCCAAGUUUGUGGAGGUUUAUGGCUAAUUGUACAAUAAAAUAAAAUAAAAUAAACACCUCAGGUACAAAUGGGGCUUAUGGCAUAAUCAUCAAAAGUCACACCUAAUGGUAUACAAAAUUUCAAUUAUAUAUGACGGUCACAAUGUCCAACGUCCGGGAAUGUCACACUUCCUGUUGAAUUUCUCCAGUAUUUUCCAACAAAUACAGAGUGGUUGCAUUCACUGAUGCUCAAUUCAAAUUGUGCUCGUCACUACUCAAACCUAGCCACCCUAUCUAAGGAAGCUUUUCUCACUUUUGAGUAAGGGACUAAUACAGCGGGAGCCAAUUGUCUUGAAGUGGACCUAGUGAUGUGGUGUAAGCACAGAGACAAAAUUUGGAUUUUCACAGUGCCCCAACCAACUGCUUUUAGGCUGACGGGGUUCCUUCAUUAUUCAUACCCCACUCUUCCUCAGCCUCGUUUCCGUUGACAAGAACUGCACCAUCUGUAGAAUCAGCAUCCACCACAACAGCCUCCUCUUGGCUCCCUUCUUCUCCAUUAUGUUCCUCAUUUAUCUGCUCAUCUCCAUUUUGUUCUGCAGCCUCAUGAUCAUAGUCUCCAUUUUCAAGAGGUUCUUCUACUUGCAAUUUUCUGAAAGCCUCAACAAGGGUCAUUUG